CGGCGGACGGGUGAGUAACGCGUGGGUAACCUGCCUCAUACAGGGGGAUAACAGUUGGAAACGGCUGCUAAUACCGCAUAAGCGCACAGUACCGCAUGGUACCGUGUGAAAAACUCCGGUGGUAUGAGAUGGACCCGCGUCUGAUUAGCUAGUUGGUGGGGUAACGGCCUACCAAGGCGACGAUCAGUAGCCGACCUGAGAGGGUGACCGGCCACAUUGGGACUGAGACACGGCCCAG
Molecule: ribosomal RNA, 238 nt
Filed under: uncultured bacterium
Lineage: Bacteria
Description: partial 16S ribosomal RNA
Rfam family: Bacterial small subunit ribosomal RNA
Source: RNAcentral